Sciurus carolinensis (gray squirrel) is the source of this 1772-nucleotide long non-coding RNA. RefSeq lists it as uncharacterized. The record is from RefSeq and is a predicted model, not a curated record. NCBI's taxonomy places the organism in Eukaryota, Metazoa, Chordata, Mammalia, Rodentia, Sciuridae. The transcript has 4 exons.
GAGUCCCUAUCACCCAUGACAUUCUGUCCACAUGGUUGCAGGAAAACGGAAUCCAAAAUUGAUUUCAUGGCUUCAGAGAGUUGGUAUAUGAAUUUUAAAGAUGCAGUAGUGCAGGCAGCAGAUUCACCUGGCUGAAAUCUCUUGUCCUACAUUGAGUUCCAACACUAGAAUCAGCAAAGGUUGUCUGAAAUAACUACACAAAAUCUGACAAAGAACGUCAAGAGAGACCACACAGCUACACUGAAUCUCCAUAAAAUGAUGGAUGGGGAGACACAAAAGGGAUUGAACCGAAGGAUACUUAACCACUGAGCCACAUCAACCAUGUGCCACAGCACCUGGAACCUGGGCUUUAUAAAGAGUUCCUCACCUCUUGAUUCCAAAGUAAGCUACUUAAUUUAGGUGGAUUUUUCUCAAGUUCAUUUCCUUCCUACAAUCUCUAAACUGUCAAUUGUCAUUUUUUAGUAAGACCAGCUUUCUCCUGAAAGAGUAAAGAGAAAUAUAAGGUCAAUAUAAGUGUCUGUUCUUCAUAUAAAGGAAAACAAAAACUAAAAACUAAAAAAAUGAUGGGAAGUCUGUAAGAGCCUUGGAAUGAGAGCUCUUUCCUAAGGAAAUGGAGUUAGAGGACCUUGUUCACCCUGCACAUGUUCUCUGGAAAGGAUCCUAUUUCCUUCUCCUUGCCAGAAGCACCAUGAGUGAAUUAUCCUGAAACUGGAGCACUUGAAGAAAGAAAUGCUCAAACAUAGAUAAUGUCUUUAUAGAUCUACCUAAUUCCUGACAGUUCUCAUAAAAUGCUCUGCUUCUCUUGAUUCAGAUGCAGUGGAUAAAUUAUAAAUCUGUUUUUGGCUAACAACCAUAUUGGGAAUCUACCAAGGUACUAAAUCCUCAAUGAAACUUUUGGUAAAUUGAAUACAGUCUUUGAAAUGAACACAGAAAUGCCUUCAAUUUCUAAAUGCUUUUUUAAGUCUUUUUUUAUUUUUUUCAGUAUAUUCACAUAUUUCAAUAUAUGUACAAAGGAAUGUGGUCUGUUGAACUGAUCAAUUUGCUAGAUCAAUUAAAUUCCACCUAUUUGUUUUCUUUUUAUGGUGCUAGAGAUUGGAAAAUGAACCCAGAGGGGCUUUACUAUGGAGCUGCAUUCCCAGAUCUUUUCAAUUUUUCAUUUUUAGACAGGGUUUCACUAAGUUCCUAGGGUUGGCCUCAAACAAGUGAUCCUGCUGCCUGAACCUCUGAAGUCACGGCAAUUACAGGUGUGUGCACUGUGUCUGGCUCCAUCUAACAUUUUGAAUUAAUCAUCUCUUAUUUGUAGGAUUAAGUGUGUGUUUUCUUUUGCCACAAGUAUUUGUUAGUUUUUCAGUAAAUUUCUUAGCUCAGAAGUUUAAAACUCUACUUACCUUAUGUCUAUCUCAUGAUGUAGUGCUGCUGCUAUAAACAUUUUAAGGCAUAAACCCUCUUGGCUCACUGUAUCUAACAUUGGACAAAUGAUUUUUCAAAGAUGGCCUCUUACACACUAUUAUAUUUAAAGUAAAUGAUAAUCAAUGAUGAUAUUUCUGCUUCUGGGCAUAAAAAUACAAUAUCAGAUUUUCACUCCUGUACAAAAAUAUAAAAUUUGAAAAAAUAUGACGUGACUGUUUUAAACAUCAGGGAACAGAAAUGAUCACACAAAGAAAUUUCAUGUACAUACAAGAUUUAUAAAGAGGAUCAUUGUGGUUCAUGGUAUAGGAAGGUAGAGUAUAAGGAGAACAAUGUUCUCUUGAGCUGGGGAGAUGGAGGUUAGA